RNAcentral lists this ribosomal RNA (253 nucleotides) under uncultured bacterium. Its description in RNAcentral is "partial 16S ribosomal RNA". It matches the Rfam family "Bacterial small subunit ribosomal RNA", at positions 524 to 776 of the family's 1533-position model. The record is from RNAcentral.
UACGAGGGGAGCUAGCGUUAUUCGGAAUUACUGGGCGUAAAGGGCGUGUAGGCGGAAUGCCAAGUCAGUUGUUAAAUCCUUCGGCUUAACCGGAGAACAGCAAUUGAAACUGGCAAUCUAGAGUACAGAAGAGAGAAGUGGAAUUAUCGGAGUAGCGGUAAAAUGCGUAGAUCUCGAUAGGAACACCAAUUGCGAAGGCAGCUUCUUGGUCUGUUACUGACGCUGAGACGCGAAAGCGUGGGGAGCAAACAGG